This 1440-nucleotide ribosomal RNA is filed under the name uncultured archaeon. RNAcentral describes it as "16S ribosomal RNA". It matches the Rfam family "Archaeal small subunit ribosomal RNA", at positions 39 to 1354 of the family's 1478-position model. The record is from RNAcentral.
UUCGGCUAAGCCAUGCAAGUCUCGGGUUAAACCGGGGCGAAAAGCUCAGUAACACGUAGCUAACCUGCCCUUGGGUCUGGAAAUAAUCUCGGGAAACUGAGGCUAACGCUAAGAUAGAUAUGGUAUGCUGGAAUGCUUCCAUAUUGAAUCCAAGGAUGGGGCUGCGGCCGAUUAGGUUGUUGCCAGAGUAAAAACCCUUUUGCGGGGCUGGCUUAACCCGCGAGAGGUUGCAAUCCUGACAAGCCUAUAAUCGGUACGGGCCUUGAGAGAGGAAGCCCGGAGAUGGAUUCUGAGACAAGAAUCCAGGUCCUACGGGACGCAGCAGGCGCGGAAAUUCCGCAAUGCACGCAAGUGUGACGGAGGAAUUCAGAGUGCUUUCUCGUUUUGAGGAAGCUUUUGCCAAGUCCAAAAUUUGACCGAAGGCGACUUGUCGCCUUCCUUCAGUUGGAGAGCUUGGCGAAUAAGUGGUGGGUAAGACAGGUGCCAGCCGCCGCGGUAAUACCUGCGCCACGAGUGGUAAUCACGCUUAUUGGGCUUAAAGCGUUCGUAGCCGGCUUGGAAAGUUUCUAAUGAAAUCCUGCAGCUGACUGCAGGGCUUGUUAGAAAUACUUCCAGGCUUGGAACCGGGAGAGGUCGAGGGUAUUAUUGGGGUAGGGGUAAAAUCCUAUAAUCCCAAUAAGACCACCUGUGGCGAAGGCGCUCGACUAGAACGGAUUCGACGGUGAGGGACGAAAGCUGGGGGAGCAAAGCGGAUUAGAUACCCGCGUAGUCCCAGCUGUAAACGAUACCCACUAGACAUUGGAUGUCUUACGGGGGCAUCCAGAGUCGUAGGGAAACCAUUAAGUGGGUCGCCUGGGGAGUACGGUCGCAAGGCUGAAACUUAAGGGAAUUGGCGGGGGAGCACACAAGGGGUGGAGGCUGCGGUUUAAUUCGACUCAACGCGAGGAACCUUACCAGGGGCGACAGCAGAAUGAAGGUCAGGUUCAUGACCUUACCAGACACGCUGAGCGGUGCUGCAUGGCCGUCGUCAGUUCGUGCCGUGAAAGCCUUUUCGAAAGAAAGGGUUUCGGCAAAGGUGUCACGUUAAGUCGUGUAACGAACAAGACCCGUGCCCUAUGUUACGACGGGGCCAAUUUGGCUUCGGUACUCAUAGGGGACCGCUGCUGAUAAAGCAGAGGAAGGUGCGGUCGACGGCAGGUCAGUAUGGUCCUAAUCCUCUGGGUUACACGCGGCCUACAAUGGUUGGUACAAUGGGAUGCCACUCCGAAAGGAGGAGCCAAACCCCAAAACCAAUCUUGGUCCAGAUCGAGGGUUGCAACUCACCCUCGUGAAGACGAAAUCCCUAGUAGUCGCUGGUCAUCAAGUACAGCUUUUCAAUGAGAAGCUGCACGUGAAGUCUAGCGGCGAAUAAGUUCCUGCUCCUUGCACACACCGCCCGUC